UACGUAGGUGGCAAGCGUUGUCCGGAUUUAUUGGGCGUAAAGGGAGCGCAGGCGGUUUUUUAAGUCUGAUGUGAAAGCCUACGGCUUAACCGUAGAAUUGCAUUGGAAACUGGGAAACUAGAGUGCAGAAGAGGAAAAUGGAACUCCAUGUGUAGCGGUGAAAUGCGUAGAUAUAUGGAGGAACACCAGUGGCGAAGGCGAUUUUCUGGUCUGAUACUGACGCUGAGGCUCGAAAGCGUGGGGAGCAAACAGG
This 253-nucleotide ribosomal RNA is filed under the name uncultured bacterium. RNAcentral's name for it is "partial 16S ribosomal RNA". It matches the Rfam family "Bacterial small subunit ribosomal RNA", at positions 524 to 776 of the family's 1533-position model. The record is from RNAcentral.